GUAGUUAGCCGUGGCUUGUUUUCAGGGUACCGUCUUCUACUCUUCCCCUGUCAAAGAAGUUUACAACCCGAAAGCCUUCUUCCCUCACGCGGCGUUGCUGGGUCAGGCUUGCGCCCAUUGCCCAAUAUUCCCCACUGCUGCCUCCCGCAGGAGUCUGGACCGUAUCUCAGUUCCAGUGUGGCCGAUCAGCCUCUCAGCUCGGCUACCCAUCGUCGACUUGGUGGGCCGUUACCCCGCCAACUAUCUAAUGGGACGCGAACCCCUCUUAUACCGGAUUGCUCCUUUGACCUCAUCCCGAUGUCGGGUCGUGGUCUUAUGCGGUAUUAGCAACCGUUUCCGGUUGUUAUCCCCCUGUAUAAGGCAGGUUGUUCACGCGUUACUCACCCGUUCGCCACUAAGUUAUCAACCGAAAUCAAUAACUCCGUUCGACUUGCAUGUGUUAGGCACGCCGCCAGCGUUCGUCCUGAGCCAGAAUCAAACUCUGA
This 485-nucleotide ribosomal RNA is filed under the name uncultured bacterium. RNAcentral describes it as "partial 16S ribosomal RNA". The record is from RNAcentral.